AGUGAACGCUGGCGGUAGGCCUAACACAUGCAAGUCGAACGGCAGCACAGUAAGAGCUUGCUCUUACGGGUGGCGAGUGGCGGACGGGUGAGGAAUACAUCGGAAUCUACUUUUUCGUGGGGGAUAACGUAGGGAAACUUACGCUAAUACCGCAUACGACCUACGGGUGAAAGCAGGGGAUCUUCGGACCUUGCGCGAUUGAAUGAGCCGAUGUCGGAUUAGCUAGUUGGCGGGGUAAAGGCCCACCAAGGCGACGAUCCGUAGCUGGUCUGAGAGGAUGAUCAGCCACAAUGGAACUUAGAAACGGUCCAAACUACUACGGGAGGCAGCAGUUGGGAAUAUUGGACAAAGGGCGCAAGCCUGAUCCAGCCAUACCGCGUGGGUGAAGAAGGCCUUCGGGUUGUAAAGCCCUUUUUUUGGGAAAGAAAAGCAUCAGGUUAAUACCCCGCUGUUCUGACGGUAACCAAAGAAUAAGCAACGGCUAACUUCGUG
This 492-nucleotide ribosomal RNA is filed under the name uncultured bacterium. RNAcentral describes it as "partial 16S ribosomal RNA". It matches the Rfam family "Bacterial small subunit ribosomal RNA", at positions 29 to 507 of the family's 1533-position model. The record is from RNAcentral.